RNA transcript from Piliocolobus tephrosceles (Ugandan red Colobus), 2855 nucleotides. It is a transcript of the gene named kizuna centrosomal protein, with no coding region annotated. Lineage: Eukaryota; Metazoa; Chordata; Mammalia; Primates; Cercopithecidae. The transcript has 13 exons. The record is from RefSeq and is a predicted model, not a curated record.
CUGCGGGCGGCCCGCGCGGUGUUUACCCGCGGUGCAUGGUGGGGCGGUCUCCUCCGGCAACCGCCACCCGUCGGCCGCCCAGAGGCUGUGCUGAGCUGGCGCAGCGACAGCAGCAUGAACUGGACCCACGCAUCGUCCGUGCCCUUGUCGAGUCCCGAAUACUACGAGAGGGUGAGCCAGCUCCAGCAGAGGCUGCGGGAGAGUGAAAAGAAGAGAUUGGACCUGGAAAAGAAACUUUAUGAAUAUCAUCAGUCUGAAACAUACAGAGUUAAGCUGAAAUAUGUAAAACUAAAGAAUUAUCUGAAGGAAAUAUGUGAAUCUGAAAAGAAGGCUCAUGCUCGAAACCAAGAAUAUUUAAAGCAAUUUGAGCGUUUCCAAGCUCAUGCUGUAUACUUCACCACAAACACAGAGAAGCUUCAAAAACUGAAGCCUACAACAGCACCUGGUAUUCCUAGGAGUCUCCCAUCCAAGUAUGAAACAGGCCCAACCCUGCUUAGCCUUCAAGAUCAGAUGAGAGCAAGCGUGUUCAGGGUGCUUGAAUAUGAGACUCAAAUUAAGAAGAUGCUACUCUCAAAAGAUAGUCUGGGACUAAAAGGUGAACUGAAAGAUGAAGACAGAGAAAAGAUUGCAAUGCAGGAGGGAAUUAACUCAGGAACAGCCAUGUCAAGAGGAUUGUAUCAACCAGCAACAAUCUUUAUGGGCCGCCAAAUGUCAGCCGUCUCAAGCAUGGGAGAUUUCAGUACAGAGCACAAAUCUCCCCAACCCACAAAGAACUUUUCAAUUCCUGACCCACAUUCACACCGACAGAUAGCCCAGAGAAGUAAUGUGACAGACAGCUGUGUAGUACAAACUAGUAAUGACACACAGUGCUUAAAUAAGUCUGACAGCAUAGAUGGAAAGGCAUCUCUUCAGAUUGGUGAGAAAACGCCAGUCACAGCCAGUGUAUUGUCUGAGGAGGAACACACUCAUUGUUUGGAGAUAGGAAGUAAUACACGUCAUGGCAAGAGUAAUUUAUCUGAAGGCAAAAAGUCUGCUGAGCUCAAUUCCCCGUUACAGGAAAGAUUAAGUCCAGAGAACAGAACCACUGAUUUAAAGUGUGACAGUUCCAGCAGAUCAGAGGGAUCAGAGGGAGAAAUACUGACACGGGAACAUAUUGAAGUUGAGGAAAAAAGAGCCAGCCCGCCAGUCUCUCCGAUAUCAGUUUCAGAAUACUGUGAAUCUGAAAAUAAGUGGUCUCAAGAGAAGCAUUCUCCUUGGGAAGGUGUUUCAGAUCACCUUGCUCACGGGGACCCAAAGUCACAAAAGCCCUUCAGAAAAAAGCAGGAAGAGAAGGAGGAGGAAAGUUGGAGCACCAGCAGUGACCUCACUGUUUCAAUAAGUGAAGAUGACCUGUUUUUAAAGAGCCCAGAACCACAGCCAAAUCCAGGUGGCAAGAUGGAGAGAGAAGAUGGAAUAGAGGCCUUAAAAUUAAUCCAUGCUGAGCAAGAAAGAGAUGCCCUAUCCACUGAAAAAAAUAAUUGUAUUUUGCAAACCCUAAGCUCUCCUGAUUCAGAAAAGGAAUCCUCCACUAACGCACCAACUAGAGAACCUGGACAAGCACCAGACUCAGGCGUACCGAGGGCACCAGUGGGUCAGCAUGUUGCCACCUUGAAAAAACAUGAUAAUUCUCUCAAAGAAGAGGCAACAGCAUUAUUGAGAAAAGCCCUUACAGAAGAGUGUGGCCAUAGGUCAGCUAUUCACAGUAGUGAAUCAUCUUGCAGCUUGCCGUCUAUUCUGAAUGACAGUAGUGGAAUAAAGGAAGCCAAACCUGCUGUAUGGCUCAACAGCGUUCCUACAAGGGAACAAGAAGUUUCAAAUGGCUGUGGAGACAAAAGCAAGAAAGAAAACAUGACUGCAGAUAUCCCAAUCACAGAAACAGAAGCCUACCAGUUGCUGAAGAAGGCUACCCUUCAGGAUAAUACAAAUCAAACUGAAAACAGGUUUCAAAAGGCAGAUGCUUCUGUGUCACACUUGUCAGUCAUGGAAUUUGAAUCCAGAGGGAUAUUAGAAAGAAUGUAUUCAACACUCCUAUUUUACAAAUGAGUCCCCAGGAGAGUAACACCUUGCUCAGAGCCUUUCAGCUGGAUAAAUGACACACAUACUUUGGAAAGUGACUCCACACAUCUGUUUCUGAUGCCCAUGCAUGCUGUGUCUCUGAUUGUGACUGCCAAUUAAGAAGCAGACCUGUAGCAGAAAUAUCCAAGGCUGAGAACUCCCAGAAGGCAAAGGUCAGGGGUUGCCCUGCAAAAACUGGGGGCAUUGUGGGAAUAUCCAAGUCUCUGGCUCCAGAGAAAGAGGUGGAGUGUGCAUCCUCCUCCUCAACCUUUAGAGGCUGGUAAAGAGUGGCCUUGAUGAUUUUCAGUGGAGAUUCUUUCUCCUCUGUGGGAUGGAAAAUAGAGGAUUUUACAGAGGGGCUUAAGAGCGGAUAAGGUGGGUAACUCAUCCACGGAUCUCAAUUAUUUCUGAGCCCUGGUUUGCUGCCCGUGUGUUAUAACAAUGGGAAUUAUCCAGUGCUUUGUGAUACAGUAGAGAUCCAUAUGCCUACAUGUGCAUCUUGGUCAUUUAAAAUUGAAUUCUUUGGACGAUUUCAGUUUUCAUUUUUUGUGGCUACUGUUUAGGUAUCACAGGAAAGCGGCCUACUCCCUUUCAAUAUUCUACCAGCAUUUCAUUCUCUGCCUCAGAAGCUCCCUUGCCUUCUGUGGCUUGAACAGAUUCUUCCUCUGCUGGCGUUUGUUUCACCAAACUUACUGUGAGGCCACUUUAUUCAUUUUGUCCCGUGGCUGCAUGACAGCUAACCCUCACCAUGUUUACGCUUA